RNAcentral lists this ribosomal RNA (253 nucleotides) under uncultured bacterium. RNAcentral describes it as "partial 16S ribosomal RNA". It matches the Rfam family "Bacterial small subunit ribosomal RNA", at positions 524 to 776 of the family's 1533-position model. The record is from RNAcentral.
UACGAAGGGUGCAAGCGUUAAUCGGAAUUACUGGGCGUAAAGCGUGCGCAGGCGGUGAUGUAAGACAGUUGUGAAAUCCCCGGGCUCAACCUGGGAACUGCAUCUGUGACUGCAUCGCUGGAGUGCGGCAGAGGGGGAUGGAAUUCCGCGUGUAGCAGUGAAAUGCGUAGAUAUGCGGAGGAACACCGAUGGCGAAGGCAAUCCCCUGGGCCUGCACUGACGCUCAUGCACGAAAGCGUGGGGAGCAAACAGG